This 28-nucleotide small RNA is filed under the name Bombyx mori (domestic silkworm). Its description in RNAcentral is "ovarian small RNA-20861". The record is from RNAcentral. Lineage: Eukaryota; Metazoa; Arthropoda; Insecta; Lepidoptera; Bombycidae.
UACCUCGGACCGGGCCGGAGCCCAAAAA